UGGAUCCAGACUUUGAUUAUGGCUCAGGACGAACGCUGGCGGCGUGCCUAACACAUGCAAGUCGAGCGGAGACAGGGAGUAGCUUGCUACGAGCUGUUUUAGCGGCGGACGGGUGAGUAACGCGUGAGCAACCUUUCCCAGACAGGGGAAUAACACACCGAAAGGUGUACUAAUACCGCAUAAGACCACGGAAUCACAUGGUUCUGGGGUAAAAGAUUUAUCGGUUUGGGGUGGGCUCGCGUCCGAUUAGGUAGUUGGUGAGGUAACGGCCCACCAAGCCGACGAUCGGUAGCCGACCUGAGAGGGUGAUCGGCCACAUUGGGACUGAGACACGGCCCAAACUCCUACGGGAGGCAGCAGUGGGGAAUAUUGGGCAAUGGAGGAAACUCUGACCCAGCAACGCCGCGUGGAGGAAGAAGGUUUUCGGAUCGUAAACUCCUGUCCUUGGAGACGAGUAGAAGACGGUAUCCAAGGAGGAAGCCCCGGCUAACUACGUGCCAGCAGCCGCGGUAAUACGUAGGGGGCAAGCGUUGUCCGGAAUAAUUGGGCGUAAAGGGCGCGUAGGCGGCUCGGUAAGUCUGGAGUGAAAGUCCUGCUUUUAAGGUGGGAAUUGCUUUGGAUACUGUCGGGCUUGAGUGCAGGAGAGGUUAGUGGAAUUCCCAGUGUAGCGGUGAAAUGCGUAGAGAUUGGGAGGAACACCAGUGGCGAAGGCGACUAACUGGACUGUAACUGACGCUGAGGCGCGAAAGUGUGGGGAGCAAACAGGAUUAGAUACCCUGGUAGUCCACACUGUAAACGAUGAAUGCUAGGUGUAGGGGGUAUCGACCCCUUCUGUGCCGCAGUCAACACAAUAAGCAUUCCGCCUGGGGAGUACGGCCGCAAGGUUGCAACUCAAAUGAAUUGACGGA
RNAcentral lists this ribosomal RNA (908 nucleotides) under uncultured Bacillota bacterium. RNAcentral's name for it is "bacterial SSU rRNA". It matches the Rfam family "Bacterial small subunit ribosomal RNA", at positions 1 to 917 of the family's 1533-position model. Lineage: Bacteria; Bacillati; Bacillota. The record is from RNAcentral.